AAACGAACUGUCACAGUCCAUUUCAGGAUGGAUUUCAUUUUACCCACUUGUGUUGGUUCUCCUGAAGCUGGAGCAGGUGCUAUAUCAUAUUCUGAGCAGUUGUUAAACGCUUCUCCAAAAAGAUCCCUAUAUUGCAGAAUGAAGUUCUACUUAUCCCCUCACUUGUGCUGGACACUAGGUAAGGACCAAAAAAACUAAUUUUUCCCAAAUCUCUCUUUUUCUUCAUCAGUCCCACAGGUUGGACUUUAGGACUCCUGAAAUGAAUUUUGAUCAGUUAAACUGACAAACUGAAAUUAGAAGAAAAAAUUUCUUCUACAGCUCUGUUUUGAAAAAUGAUCAAUGGUAAAAUUCUCACUAUUUCCAGUGAUACAGGCUGGACCUUGAAAAGGAUAGAAUAUUCAUAUUUUACCUUUGUUUUCCUGUUGCAAUUCCCUAAUCUGUCUGUUUUCCUGCUGGAUACCCAUCACUAGAGUAGAACGAGGUCGAUGUCUUGCUACUUCAUUGAGCUCUUGGAUUUCUUCCUGGUACUGGUUAUUACAAAAACAAACCAACAAGGUACAGCAUAUUUGAUUAACCCAAGGCAGGUAUUACACAGCAGGUCACAAAGCACCAGUUCUACUGUCACUCACAGUCUAUAACCAGGAAGACAAUGCUUGUUUUUAAAUAACAGUAUCAAACACACACACCAGAAGGUGUUGCAGACAUCCUGUCCUUUAGAGGCACAAAAGCAUGACCUUAGAUGUGUGUAGUGGAUGCUAUUUAACCUUCAGUUAACGUAGGCCAAGUUCACCAUCAGGCAAUUUAAAACUCAUAGAGAUGUGGUAAAGACAAACCAUGAGGUAUUAACGUCCUAACAUUUACUGUGGCUUCCCAAAACCUUAAACCACAGGGCUGUGUGGGUACAAGUUACUUGGGCCCGCAUCAAUGAGUCCUGACUCCCGACAGAUGGGGAUAUGUCAUACUCUUGAUCUGAAGCCAUUAAGCCUCUGCAUGCCUAGUUUUACAAGACUGAAUUGCAUGCAGGAGGUUACAAGUUUAUAGGCCCAUUAACAUAUCUUGGGUUCAUUAAAGUGAGAGGAUGGACUCCCAUAUGGAAAGUCACAAGACACCUUUACGUUUUCCCAGGAGUUGUCUUGUUAAAGUCACACUCAAUCUAACAAUGUUCCUUGAGCAGCUCAACAUCAGAAUAGAAGUGAGUGCAAAAAAGCCCAAGAGGCUAUGUUGGAAACAAAAGGAGACAGUGCAAAAAGUACUCUGUACAGAAGAAAACACAUCAGAGCCUCUAAUUAAAUGGGCAUGCCAAAAUUAAUAAAAAUGUGUAGUAUUGCAUUGGAGAGCAAACCAAGAGACACCACAGAGUGGUUUGUAAGAUACCAAGCCCAUUUCUACCAGCGUUCUUCAAAUAAAUGCUUGUUUUCAAUAUUUAAACUAGAGUAACUGUGAAAAUGUUUUCACAGUCUCAAACUCUAUAAACAAGCUAUUUUUAGAUGAGAGCCACACCUCUACUAAAAACACCAAGUCUGCAUUACAGGCUUAACCCAACACCACACUCAUUCUGUGCUGCACAGAAGCCCCCAGAGGAUGUGCUGCCAUUGCCCGGAGCAAGCAGGGCUGGAGAGCAGACCUGUUUCAUGGCUUCCACCCGCCUGUUGAGCGCCGUGGUCUGUUUGAUGAGCGCCUCAGCUGCACUGUCAUGUUCCCUCAGCCGCUCUACCAGCGCCUUCGCGUCCGCCAGCGCCUUCUCAAUGGUGCAGCUCAUUUCUGAACAUGACAAAGGAAGUGUUAGCACCACAGCACCUCUGCACAGCACAGCUACCUGGGGCAUGGAUCAGCUGCCAGAGGCAGGGCACUGAGCACAGCAACUGUGGGCAGUGCUGGUGCUUCUGGCAGAAAGUAAAAGAAUGUUACAUGAACUCAUUCAUUUUUAAUGCUACUUUUUUUCAUGUGCCCUCCUAACAGAUAUGCUUCAGGAUAACUGAGGUAUAAAUCCAGCACAAAAGAGAAUGCUGAAGGAUUACAGUGGCCUGGAAGAUUCUGAUGACUUAAAUCAGCAGAGAAGGAGCAGCUCAAACUGACAGAGUAGAGAAAAUUGCUCAGGGAAAUUUCAGAAGAUGAAAGGCUUGUGUUUUGCUCAUGUCUAUAAAUGAACACAAACAUUGCUAUGUGGAAUGGAACUGUGACAUUUUCAACAGCACAGAGAAAGACAGCACCUCAGCUAAUGAAAAGAAGAAAUUGCACCCUUAAAACACCGCCGUUCUACCUGCAGCAUCUGUUCACAGGAA
Molecule: long non-coding RNA, 2282 nt
Organism: Passer domesticus (house sparrow)
Lineage: Eukaryota; Metazoa; Chordata; Aves; Passeriformes; Passeridae
Exons: 2
Source: RefSeq, a predicted model, not a curated record